This 88-nucleotide transfer RNA is filed under the name Candidatus Glomeribacter gigasporarum BEG34. It matches the Rfam family "tRNA". From Rfam's summary of the family: Transfer RNA (tRNA) molecules are approximately 80 nucleotides in length. Their secondary structure includes four short double-helical elements and three loops (D, anti-codon, and T loops). Further hydrogen bonds mediate the characteristic L-shaped molecular structure. tRNAs have two regions of fundamental functional importance: the anti-codon, which is responsible for specific mRNA codon recognition, and the 3' end, to which the tRNAs corresponding amino acid is attached (by aminoacyl-tRNA synthetases). tRNAs cope with the degeneracy of the genetic code in two manners: having more than one tRNA (with a specific anti-codon) for a particular amino acid; and 'wobble' base-pairing, i.e. permitting non-standard base-pairing at the 3rd anti-codon position. The record is from Rfam by way of RNAcentral. Lineage: Bacteria; Pseudomonadati; Pseudomonadota; Betaproteobacteria; Burkholderiales; Burkholderiaceae.
GGAAAGGUGGCAGAGUGGUCGAAUGCGCCGGAUUCGAAAUCCGGUGUACGGUCAACCCGUACCGUGGGUUCAAAUCCCACCCUUUCCG